RNAcentral lists this ribosomal RNA (337 nucleotides) under Lema delauneyi. RNAcentral's name for it is "partial 12S rRNA". The record is from RNAcentral. Lineage: Eukaryota; Metazoa; Arthropoda; Insecta; Coleoptera; Chrysomelidae.
AUUAGUAUUAGUUAGGUUCUUGAAAUUUAAAAGAUUUGGCGGUAUUUUAGACUUUUCAGGGGAACUUGUCCUUUAAUUGAUAAUCCACGAUUUAAUUUACUUUUUUUUUUAGUUUGUAUAUCGUCGUUAUUGAAAAUUUUUAAAAAAUUAUUAAUUUUUAGAAUUUUAAGUUUAAAAAUAAAUCAGAUCAAGAUGUAGUUAAUAAAAAAGUAGUGAUGAGUUACAUUAAAUUAUUAAAUAGGAUAUUUAUUUGUAAAAUAAAUUGAAUAUGGAUUUGAAAGUAAUUUAAAUUAAUUAAUUUAAAUGAUUAACCCCUAAAAUAUUUACACUUCGCCCG